UACGUAGGGUCCGAGCGUUGUCCGGAAUUACUGGGCGUAAAGAGCUCGUAGGUGGUUUGUCGCGUUGUUCGUGAAAACUCACAGCUCAACUGUGGGCGUGCGGGCGAUACGGGCAGACUUGAGUACUGCAGGGGAGACUGGAAUUCCUGGUGUAGCGGUGAAAUGCGUAGAUAUCUGGAGGAACACCGGUGGCGAAGGCGGCAUCCUGGACCGACACUGACGCUGAGGAGCGAAAGCCAGGGGAGCAAACGGG
This 253-nucleotide ribosomal RNA is filed under the name uncultured bacterium. RNAcentral describes it as "partial 16S ribosomal RNA". It matches the Rfam family "Bacterial small subunit ribosomal RNA", at positions 524 to 776 of the family's 1533-position model. The record is from RNAcentral.